RNAcentral lists this ribosomal RNA (253 nucleotides) under uncultured bacterium. RNAcentral describes it as "partial 16S ribosomal RNA". It matches the Rfam family "Bacterial small subunit ribosomal RNA", at positions 524 to 776 of the family's 1533-position model. The record is from RNAcentral.
UACGUAGGGUGCGAGCGUUGUCCGGAAUUAUUGGGCGUAAAGGGCUCGUAGGCGGUUUGUCGCGUCGGGAGUGAAAACGCCGGGCUUAACUCGGUGCUUGCUUUCGAUACGGGCAGACUAGAGGUAUGCAGGGGAGAACGGAAUUCCUGGUGUAGCGGUGAAAUGCGCAGAUAUCAGGAGGAACACCGGUGGCGAAGGCGGUUCUCUGGGCAUGUCCUGACGCUGAGGAGCGAAAGUGUGGGGAGCGAACAGG